This 323-nucleotide small RNA is filed under the name Sinorhizobium meliloti 2011. RNAcentral describes it as "putative ncRNA". Lineage: Bacteria; Pseudomonadati; Pseudomonadota; Alphaproteobacteria; Hyphomicrobiales; Rhizobiaceae. The record is from RNAcentral.
AGAGCAAAUGCCGAUCAAGCUGUUGAUUUAUAUGGAGUUGCAGCGAGAUCUGAGGAAAUUCAAAUCUCUCUAGCAGCACCAUUUUUCCUCUAGAGAACAGUUAUUCGCCAGCCAUGAAGGCCGAUGCCUUACGCCUGCGUUUGCCGCGGCAGGUACCAGACGUCGACGGGGAGCCGCCGGCCCGCCAGGGCGGCUGAUUUCAGGGACAUCCAGCCGGCUGUCGGGAUCGGGCCUUGCAGCCGCUCGAUCAGCGCAAGCGAGAUCACAAGCGGAGCGUCGAGCGACUUGGCCAGGGUUUCGAGUCUCUGCGCCACGUUCACCGC